GCGAGGGUGAGCAAACCACAGAAACGGCGUCCCAGUUCGGAUUGCAGCCUGCAACCCGACUACAUGAAGCUGGAAUCGCUAGUAAUCGCGGAUCAGAAUGCCGCGGUGAAUACGUUCCCGGGUCUUGUACACACCGCCCGUCACACCAUGGGAGUCGGAAAUGCCCGAAGUCUGUGACCCAACCUACGGGAGGGAGCAGCCGAAGGCAGGUCGGAUGACUGGGGUGAAGUCGUAACAAGGUAAC
Molecule: ribosomal RNA, 244 nt
Filed under: uncultured bacterium
Lineage: Bacteria
Description: partial 16S ribosomal RNA
Rfam family: Bacterial small subunit ribosomal RNA
Source: RNAcentral